AGUCAAGAUGGCUGCUUAACCAGCUGCAAAAGUUCAGAUCUAGGAAGAACCUUCCUUACCGAUUACAGACUGAAUGCUCCUAGGACACCGAAAUUCAAGCUGAGCAACAGGACAGAGGUGGGCAACCCUCCUUCUGGACUCAAAUCAAAAGAAUGUGGCCAGGAUGGACCAGGACCAUGUUAUUUUUCCUUUCCUUAUAUCCAUGGAACUUAACCUGAAUCAUUCUUGAACUAAGUGGAGGAGCUCAAAAACCACUUAGAGAAUUCACACCCUCAGAAACUCAAUCAGUCAGGAAUCUGUGAACCCUUUUGAUGAGAAUUUACCCCUCCAGAAGGCAAGAAGCAAAUCCCACAGAUACUGCCAGUGUCUAGGCAAUUUGGAAACUGUGAUUGGCCCCUGUGAAGAGGGGAAGAGACAAGAAGCCACCAUAAAAGGCCCUGAAUUUCUGGGGCUAAAGUCAGCUUCAAGAAGGAAGUGGGCUUCAAGAAGAAAGUCAUCUUUAAGAAGAAAAUUGACCUCAGGAGUAAUCUUCAGCUCAAGUCAUAGUCUUGACUUACCUCUUGGAGGGAACUUAGGUAUUUGGGGCUCAGUAUCCUGGUCUGUCUCCAUUGUGGUCUGAGGAGAGAGAUCUUCUAUUAAGCAUUUACCAGCAUACCCCUGCUAAAUGCCUUCCCAGCUUGAUAGAACCUGCCAGCUCUUGCAGUCGACUGAUUAUAAGAAACCAGGUUUGACUCAGACUAGUCUUAUAGCUCAGGUUUAAUAUGGGGACAAAAUGAAACAGCCAUUGGUCAUUUGCCUAUUUUGCAAAAUUGUACAAAAGGGCUAAGUCAAAAUAUAUAUUUAUUUAAAGAGUUGAGGAUAUAGUUUUCAUUGCUUAAAAGUAACUGAGAGAUCAAAUCAUCUAGUUCAAUGCCAAAAUUUGAGAGAUGAAGCCAAUAUGAAUCUCCAGAACAAAUAAAUAUAUGGUAAUAACUUGUCCA
Molecule: long non-coding RNA, 980 nt
Filed under: Monodelphis domestica (gray short-tailed opossum)
Lineage: Eukaryota; Metazoa; Chordata; Mammalia; Didelphimorphia; Didelphidae
Description: lncRNA (ENSMODG00000034252.2)
Source: RNAcentral